AGGGCUGCACCCAUGGCAUAUGGAGGAUCCCAGGCUAAUCAGAGCUGUAGCUGCCGGCCUACACCAUAGCCACAACAAUGCGGGAUCCGAACCGCUCCUGCGACCUACACCACAGCUCACAGCAACAUCGGAUCCUUAACCCACUGAGCAAGGCCAGGGAUCGAACCCGCAACCUCAUGGUUCCUAGUCGGAUUCGCUCCACAGGCUGUGUUCUUAAUCCCCAUUGCCUUUCUCAUAAAAGUAUAUGUUGGCUUUUGAUUCUCUCAGUUGUGAUAUGUGCAGCCUUGGACACAUCUGUAGUCUUUGGGUCUUAGUUUCCUAAUCUGUGAAAUGGGAAUACUAGUAGUACUCACCACGUGGGAUUGUUGUGCAGAUUAAGUGAAUCAGUCCAUGGACAGGUCCAGCAGUGUGUGGCAUGUACACGCAAUACAGGGUAAGGGCUCAUGGGUACCUGUGUGCCAUUGAUGCUUAUUGUUUUUCUUAUUGUUUUGUCAUUAUUCUUAUCAGGGAGCUGGGGUAAAGGAGAUAGAUAUAAAAAUAGAUAAAACCCAGCCCCUGUGGCUCCUCACUCAACGUAAAUAUUCUGACCCAAUGGAUGCAUAGUGAAAAAGGGGGCAGAAGAAUGCCACCCUGCUUUCUGGCCUCACCCCUGUCUUAGGAUACUGCAAGAACUAUUUAGCAUCAGCUGCCAUUAUGCCCUCCUUGUUGGGGGGUGUGGACUUCUCCCCAUAGCCGGGGAGGCCUGGCUGAGGACAUGUGCCGUUGCAGAAGUGGUGCUGACCGCAGACACCCAUGCCCUCACUUUCUGGGCCUCCCUGUAUGGUGUCUUGUAAUGACUUGUCCAGGGCUUUGUCUUCUGCUCUGGGCAGUCAGGCACUAGGCGUGGAACAGGUAGCAGAAGAAAAGAGACGAUAGAUCUGGGCAGACCGUGAGUGACAGAGAAUGCCAGAGGUGUUCACUAACUCUUUCCCUUUCCCCUGCCUGGGCACACAGCUAGGCUACGCUUCCCAGCCUCCCUAGCAGUUAGAUGGGACCAUGUGACUGAGUUCUGUCCAGUGAAUGUGGGAGGAAUGAUUGCUCUAUGCUAGGAAGGGCACCUAAAAGCUCCUAUGUGAUCCUCUGCAGUUCAUUUCUUUCCUGUCCUGCUGGCUGCCUGCUGAGGACUCAGCAGAGGACUUCAAGUCCCUAAUGGGUGGUAGAACCACCAGAGAGAAGGAUAAAAUUUAUCAUAAAAUAAGAGGCUGUCUGCCAACAUCUGACUGGCUUUCGCAUGAGGGAGAAGUGAACUUUUCUCCUGAGCUCUAGGGGCUAUUUGUUACAGCAGUUCGCUGACCCUGACUAACAUAGAGGUACAGUGCAGGGGAAGAAGGACUGCUUUUCCUGAAAAUGCAGAUGGCAAACUACUCCCAAGUAUUUGGUGUUCUGUCACUGAAUCAAAGGGGUUCUAAACUGUGGUGUCCUUUUUCUUCUGAGGGAUAUGAAGCGUUUUCGUGUGUGAGCAGAGCAGUGUAACAGCUUUCCUCAAGUAAGCCAGUGGAAAUAAAAACUUGUUAACAGAGUUUUCGCUUCUAGAGAAAUAUUGUUACCAAGGACUAAAAGAAUCCAUUCAUAUUCAUUCAUUCAAUCUCUUUCUCUCUCCCCAUAUAAAAAUGAUAGACAUGUAUUUGUAGAACUUGUAAGAACUGCUUAUAACGCAAAGCAGUGGACACAUAUUAUAAGUGUACAGAUCCAUGAGUUUUUACACAUCGAACAUACCUCUUUAACCAGCACCGAGAAUAAGAAGCAGCAUUUGUAAGCCUCUGGAAAUUCUGCCCCUUCCCCUACAGUCAUAACUCCCGGAGGCCAGCCAUUAUCCUAACUUCUAACAGCCUGGUUUGGCCUAUUUUGGAAUCAUACAGUAUGUGCUUUUUUUUUUUUUUUUGUCUUUUGUCUUUUGUUGUUGUUGUUGUUGUUAUUGUUGCUAUUUCUUGGGCCGCUCCCGUGGCAUAUGGAGGUUCCCAGGCUAGGGGUCGAAUCGGAGCUGUAGCCACCGGCCUACGCCAGAGCCACAGCAACGCGGGAUCCGAGCUGCGUCUGCAACCUACACCACAGCUCACGGCAACGCCGGAUCGUUAACCCACUGAGCAAGGGCAGGGACCGAACCCGCAACCUCAUGGUUCCUAGUCGGAUUCGUUAACCACUGCGCCACGACGGGAACUCCAGUAUGUGCUUUUUAAUAUAUGGAUUAUUUGUUUGCUCAAAAUUAUAUCCCCGUGACCCAUCCACGUUGCAUGUAGCUGUAGUUCAUUUAUUUCCGUCCCCGUAAGUAUUCCUUUGUAGGACUCUACCGUAAUUUAUUCGCCCUUCUGCUACGGAUGGGCAGUUGGGUAGUUUCCUGUUUGGACUGUUCUGAAUGAGGCUGCUCUGAACAUUCUAGUUCCUAUCUUUUGGCGAAGGUACCUACUAUGCACCUCUGUUAGGUGAAAACUCCCUGCUUUGUAGUUUUAUAAAACUCUCGUCCUCCCUAAGAUAUGUCAAGGCCGUGACAGUCCCUGUUCUUAUUCCUAGCUGGGUCUUGGCUUCUAGACUAAGCCACAGUUUUGUUCUGUGUUUCAGGACUGUAAAGAUACUCACUGGUCCUUCAGUGGCCAAGUUUGGGUGUCUAAAAUGAAGAAAAUGUGAUUUACUUCAAAGGAUCUUUCUUCCGCCUCUUUGUAUAUUAGAGUAUCACUAUGGGGCCUUUUGAUUCUCCGACGAGGGCUCUUCACAAAGCUGUGUUUCAAAUCACUUGCAAACUCUGUGUAAUCAGAGUUUCACGUUGGGGUCCUUGUUGGCACUGCUUCUGCUCUUCCUCCGUGAGGAGGCGAAUCCUCUCGGAUUUCCGCCCGGCUUCCUCUCCCCAGGCGGGCAGUGCGGGAGGCCUGGGGGCGAGUCCUCUCCUGACUCGGAGGGAUUAGCCGGAGAGCUACCGGGAGCCGCCUUCGCCCAUUGCCUCUCCCAUUAAGGUUUUGUGCACAAAUCUAGACAAAGCAGGGCCUUGCCUCAGAAGGGCCAGGGACAGCGAUGGGGGGAACGUCUCUCUGUCCCCCCGAGAGGGUUUAUUCUCGAGGCUCUGCUUUCAGGGCCUUGGAUAUCGGAUCCCCAGCGUGGCAACCCAGACUAGGCAGAACUUUGUGGAUUCUGGGGCUUGAAAAGGCCUCCAGCAAAUUCUAAAACUGCCCACAGGACUUUCAUUGAAAGGCUCAGCUUCCCGGACUCCGAGGCUGAGGGUCGAAGCCCCGGACUCAGUGAGUGAUGCAACCCCCCCCUCCACCCCAAGGCCGGCUCACCGCCACAGGCUUCCUCCCUGGUCGCUUUGAAAUGCCCGUGUGAUCCGAGAGCUGAGGGCUGACCUUCUCCUCCAAGCCUCCUGGGAGCAGCGGAAACCUUGCUGAGGCCCAGGCAGCUCCACGGCUGCCCUGUGUUUGGAUGGAACAUUUGGUGCCUUUGGGUGUGAAGCCUUUGCAGUUAAGGCUGAAAAAUAGUUGUGAGAAGCCCCCGGGGGACCCUGCUGCUGAGUGACGCACAGCUGGGCCUUUGCAAGUGAGGUUUCGUGAUCAGUCUGAACAUGGAUUUAAGCUUGACUAUACUUCGCUUCAUUCCUUUUCCCAGCUAGAGGAUAAGUGAGCUGAUUUUUCCAUGAGGGAACUGCUUUGGACCAUGAACCCAGAUUUUCUUUAAAUGUAGAGGUGACUGUGUGCCUGAUGUUUGGCUGUUCAAACCUGGAGGCCUGGGGAGAGCGCUCUGUGAAGUCAGAAGGUGCAGGUGGGGUUGUGGUGCCGGGUGGUGAGUAUGUGCUUUUCUGUCCUUGCCCAGCUGUGAGUGUGAACACUUUAUGCAGAGUAAGAGGCCUUUAAAAAUCCAGAUGUGCUCCGAGCACCUGGGUGACUCUUGCUUAAAUGCACUGCUUGUCCCGAGUUGCCUUUCUUUUCUGUGGGGGCGCAGCCCAGAUCAGGGCCUACACUCUCUUCUUCCUCACCCUUUGGACUUUUUUUUGGUUUGUUUGUUUGUUUGUUUUUUGUCUUUUUGCCUUUUCUAGGGCUGUACCCACUGCACAUGGAGGUUCCCAGGCUAGGGGUCUCAUUGGGGCUGUAGCCGCCGGCCUAUGCCACAGCCACAGCAACGCCAGAUCCAAGCCGCAUCUGCGACCUACAUCACAGCUCAUGGCAACGCCAGAUCCUUAACCCACUGCGCAAGUCCAGGGAUCGAACCUGCAACCUCUUGGUUCCUAGUCAGAUUCGUUAACAACUGAGCCAUGACAGGAACUCCUGGACUUUUUCUGUUGCCAGUCCUGCCCCUAGUUUUUAGAAAAUGGCUGAAUUUUUGUCUGAGAUGAUGUCUUCAUGAGGAUCCUUCUAGACACCAUCAGGCAGACAUCAAGCAAAUUUGGGGGCACACACACACAUAUUCCCUUAACAUUGGUUGUGUGACUGCUUUCUGCAAGUCCUAUCUCAUGUUUUUUCACAAGCCCCUCAAAAUGCUGUCACGGAAAUAUAAUAUUUUUUUGGUAGAUGAAAUGGCAGCCCCGCUGGUGACUUUAAGAGCACAGGGUUUCAAGGGCCUCUUCCAGGAUUCAGACGCAGCUCUCUGUCUUUAGCCCUGGUCCUCCGUUUACCUUGCCCAGUGCCUUCCUCUCUGCUGGGCCCAGUUCCUCCCACCACCACCACCUUAUCGCCACUGUGGUAGCCUUCUGCCUCCCAGUUUAUGAUGGGGAAAUAGAGACAGGAAAAAAAAAAAAAAAAAAAAA
RNAcentral lists this long non-coding RNA (4765 nucleotides) under Sus scrofa (pig). RNAcentral's name for it is "lncRNA (ENSSSCG00065057526.1)". Lineage: Eukaryota; Metazoa; Chordata; Mammalia; Artiodactyla; Suidae. The record is from RNAcentral.